GAUGAAGAACGUAGCGAAAUGCAAUAAGUAAUGUGAAUUGCAGAAUUCAGUGAAUCAUCGAAUCUUUGAACGCACAUUGCGCCCCUUGGUAUUCCGAGGGGCAUGCCUGUUCGAGCGUCAUUUCAACCCUCAAGCACAGCUUGGUCUUGGGCUUCGCCGCUAACCCGGCGGGUCUUAAAAUCAGUGGCGGUGCCGUCGGGCCCUGAGCGCAGUAAUCUCUCUCGCUAUAGGGUCCCGGCGGAUGCUGGCCAGUAACCCCCAAUUUUCUAUGGUUGACCUCGGAUCAGGUAGGGAUACCCGCUGAACUUAAGCAUAUCAAUAAGCGGAGGA
RNAcentral lists this unclassified non-coding RNA (330 nucleotides) under soil metagenome. RNAcentral describes it as "partial contains 5.8S ribosomal RNA, internal transcribed spacer 2, and large subunit ribosomal RNA". The stretch from base 1 to 120 matches the Rfam family "5.8S ribosomal RNA", at positions 35 to 154 of the family's 154-position model. The record is from RNAcentral.